UCAGGAUGAACGCUGGCGGCGUGCUUAACACAUGCAAGUCGAACGAUGAACCUCACUUGUGGGGGGAUUAGUGGCGAACGGGUGAGUAACACGUGAGUAACCUGCCCUUGACUCUGGGAUAAGCCUGGGAAACUGGGUCUAAUACCGGAUAUGACCUUCCAUCGCAUGGUGGUUGGUGGAAAGCUUUUGUGGUUUUGGAUGGACUCGCGGCCUAUCAGCUUGUUGGUGGGGUAAUGGCCUACCAAGGCGACGACGGGUAGCCGGCCUGAGAGGGUGACCGGCCACACUGGGACUGAGACACGGCCCAGACUCCUACGGGAGGCAGCAGUGGGGAAUAUUGCACAAUGGGCGCAAGCCUGAUGCAGCGACGCCGCGUGAGGGAUGACGGCCUUCGGGUUGUAAACCNCUUUCAGUAGGGAAGAAGCGAGAGUGACGGUACCUGCAGAGAGCC
RNAcentral lists this ribosomal RNA (451 nucleotides) under soil bacterium 11G-10. RNAcentral describes it as "bacterial SSU rRNA". It matches the Rfam family "Bacterial small subunit ribosomal RNA", at positions 24 to 492 of the family's 1533-position model. The record is from RNAcentral.